Salvelinus namaycush (lake trout) is the source of this 383-nucleotide long non-coding RNA. RefSeq lists it as uncharacterized. The record is from RefSeq and is a predicted model, not a curated record. The transcript has 5 exons. Lineage: Eukaryota; Metazoa; Chordata; Actinopteri; Salmoniformes; Salmonidae.
UGUCAGAGGCAGCAGUACACCAGUGAAAUGAGAAGCACUAUCUCCCUAGCAGCACAUUUCCACUGAGUGAGAGAGAGAGAGAGAAUAAGGGACGGAGAAAUAAGGAGAAAGGUAGCGCCAUAGAACGAGGCAGGUGAAAAGAUUGACAAAGAGAGUGUGAUCAUUUGUGUACAGCUGCAACCUCAACCCCAGCUUUGUCGUAACUGUGAACCUCAGUAAAGACAGCCCAACCAUGGAUCAGAAAAUCAAUGAAUGCCCCACCACCACCUCCCCCCAGAAACAGAUGAAGAGCAGGUCCAAAUCCACCGAUGAGAUCCAGCACACCAAGAGGCUUUCAUCACAGAAAUCCCUUCCCGGUGGGCCGGACCUGGACAAAGUCAAGG